Molecule: transfer RNA, 72 nt
Filed under: Camelus bactrianus (Bactrian camel)
Lineage: Eukaryota; Metazoa; Chordata; Mammalia; Artiodactyla; Camelidae
Also listed under: 2 other names
Rfam family: tRNA
About the family: Transfer RNA (tRNA) molecules are approximately 80 nucleotides in length. Their secondary structure includes four short double-helical elements and three loops (D, anti-codon, and T loops). Further hydrogen bonds mediate the characteristic L-shaped molecular structure. tRNAs have two regions of fundamental functional importance: the anti-codon, which is responsible for specific mRNA codon recognition, and the 3' end, to which the tRNAs corresponding amino acid is attached (by aminoacyl-tRNA synthetases). tRNAs cope with the degeneracy of the genetic code in two manners: having more than one tRNA (with a specific anti-codon) for a particular amino acid; and 'wobble' base-pairing, i.e. permitting non-standard base-pairing at the 3rd anti-codon position.
Source: Rfam by way of RNAcentral
GAGGGUGUAGCUCAGUGGUAGGGUGUGUGCUUAGCAUGCACGAGGUCCUGGGUUCAAUCCCCAGUGCCUCCA